AAAGUGCUGAGAUUACAGGCGUGAGCCACCGCACCCACCUCACAGGUUGUUUUUUAACAAGGAUUAAAGUGGAAGAGGAUUAAAAUGAGACAUCUGUGGGACCUGCUUAGGCUGGGGCUCAGGAUGUGCAGUGAUUAUUCCGCACCGUGGUGAUGGUGGCAGUGGUCAUCGUUCCUAUGGUGAGUCCUGAAAAGAGCGUUGAUUUUCUGAAGACAGGAACAUGUCUUCUGUCUCAGUCUUCUCUGCCCUCCCGCCCACUCCUACUCCCCCGCCCCGCCGACCCCGACCCCGCCCCAGUGCCCUGCAGAGGGAGCCUGCUGGGCAUGGGUAGAGAGCCCAUGAGAACCUGGUGCAGGUGGAAGGAAAGGGGACCCCACAGGGAAGGUAGAAGGGCCAGGGCUUUCCCCAGCAGUGGCCAGAUCUGAACAGAGAUGACUCUGUGUUGCUGUGGCCACUCCAGACCCCAGACCGCAGCCUGAUAUCCAAGCUCCCGAGGGAGCAGAAUGCAUCAGCCACCUCAGAGAGGAGGCGCAGCCCAGUCAGGGCCCCACGUUGUCACGGCUCCAGCUGUCCUCAGGAGGGAAACUGUCUUGCAAGCCUGGAGACUUCUGGUUGCUUCUCGGAGGAAAGCCCUGUCACCUCCUCACCACCGUCCCAUAAGACGGGACCCUGCGAGGCAGACGCAGCCUGCACACAGAGGAGGGAGGGGAGGCUGCUGGGGCUCCGGCCUGUGCUUUCGCCUCCAGACCAUGGAGCUUCUUCACCCACAUGCUGGGUGCCGUCCAGCCUGAGGCCUGUGUGCAGGGUCCCGGUUUCAAGCCCCGAUUCCCACCUGCUAACUGUGACCCAGGAAGCCCCACCCCCCGCAGCCCUCAGUUUCUUCACCUGCCAAACUCCCUGCCUUCGAGACCCUGCGGAAGCCUGUGGUCCUGGAGAGCCUGAGAGCCCUCAGAGCGAUACCUUCAGCUAUCCCAGGAGAAGGACACUCUUCGCUUUCAGCACCAGGGGAAAACUAGGAAAAAGCCAAGCCACUGAGUCAAUGAGGGCCUUCCCUCAGCUGCAGACAGCAAGCCCCUUCCAGGCGCUUCCCCGCAGCUACGGCAGCAAGUGCCCCAGGGGCAGGGCCGGGAAUGCUCACUGAGAAAUCCCAGAGCUGCCUGCACUUCCUCUCACCGGCUUCCCCUUCUCUCAGCAGCCACAGGCACGGGAAAGCUGCUGAUUCCCGGAGGACCACUUACACCAAGCACUGUGAGCUGAUCGAUGGCAGAGUCUCUCCAGCUCAUGAGUCUUCAGUGACUCCCCAUUGUCCAUGGAAAACAGAAGACACCUGAGGCCUUGCACAGUGGACCUUAUUCUCAUCCCUCCCUCAGGAGAAUCCUCUGCCUCGAGCCGAAGGCCGUGGGCUCUGCAGACUCCAGGCCUCUCCUUCCCAGGGCGGUCUUCCCUUUCCCUAUGCUCAAGGCACAGCCCAAGUCCCACCUCCUCCAUUGCAAGGGACACCACCCUCUGAAUUCCUGUUGGGGAAAGAGCCUAGUUUUGCAGCCAGAUAGGCCCGAGUUAGAGUCUCAGCUCAGUUCCAAUCCCAUUAGCUGGUUGCAAGUCAUUAACUUUGUCAACCUUCAGUAAAUGGAAAUCAGGCCCACACUGUAGGUGCCUGGGGGUGCUGAUGGUUGAGUGGAAUCUGUUCUUUUGACCUUCCCAGCAUCUUUCCCCUUCCCAGCAUCCUUUCCCCUUUCUUUUGGUGAUGUCGCCUGGAUUUUCUGUUGGGUAUGUGGUCCAGGGGUGGCUGACCUCACUUCCUGGUUCCAGCAUAAGAUCAUGACUGAGAGCUGGCCAAUGAGAAUAUUCCCUCGCCCCAGCCACAGAGUCAGAUUCCCGGGGAUGAACUUGUGAGUCAAAACAGGCUGGUGGGAACACACUUGGGGUGUUAGCUGGAGUUAUUGAAGCUUUCUUUCCCACUGGAGUCACUAGGUAGAUAGAAGGAAAGCUGAAGCCUUUAGCCACUGCUGUGGGUUGAAGUGUGUACCCCAAAAAGAUAUGUUCAAAUUCUAAUCCCCUGCACCUUUGGAGGUGGCCUUGUUUGGAAAAAGGGUCUUUGCAGAUGUAGGCAAGUGAAGAUGAAGCCAUCCUGGAUCAGGGUGGCUUGUGGCUUGUGUCCAAUGCCUUGUGUCCUUCUAAGAAGAGAGAAAUCGAGACACAGACACACACAGGGAAAAGGCCGAGUGAUGACAGCAGCAGAGAUGGGAGCGCGGCAGCUACAAGCUGAGGGAUGCCAAGCAUGGCUGGCACCACCCAGGAGCCUGGAGAGAGGGAGGGGACAGCCUCCUCCUUAGAGCCUCGAAACACCCUACCCACAUCCUGGCUUCAGACUUCCAGCCUGCACAACUGGGAGAGAAUCACUUUCUGCUGUGUUAAGCUACACUAGUUCAUGGUGAUUUGUUACAGCAGCUGCAGGAAAUGAACACAGACACCAAAUGGAGAUACUGUGUCUGAGAUUGAAGCCAGCACCGUGGAAUCAGAGCUGCCAGGAGGGAGACGUGGACUCUCGACCCUGUGGCCACACUUGGUUCCCCCAGCAGCUGAAGCACGAAGUCUACUGGACUUACUAGACUUUCCAGUUACCUGGACCAAUAUAUUCUCUGUUUUACUUAAGCUGUUUCGAUUGGAUUUCUGGCUAUUUCAACUGAGAGAGGCCUAACUCUCAGUUAUACAGAGACAAUGGAUGUAAAAUGCAUUGAAGGCCAGGCACAGUGGCUCGCGCCUGUAAUCCCAACACUUUGGAAAGCCAAGGCAGGAGGAUGGCUUGAGCCCAGGAGUACGAGACCAGCCUGGGAGACGUGGCAAAACGAAACCCCGUUUCUACAAAAAAAUACAUUAAACCAUUUUAAAAAGAAAAUAUAAAAUGUAUUGCAUGCUGCCUGGCCAAUGGGAGACAGUGGAGUGAAUGUAGGAAGUAGUUAGUAGAGUAAAUGGUAUUUAUUAUUACUGCUAUUGCUGUUGUUUCUAUUUCCAGCUAGGCUGAGCACUCUUGAGUGGCAUAAGGGCCGAGUCUCUAUUGGGCGUGGGAAGCAGGUUCUGAGGGGGUGGGGCCUCCUGUGGAUAGGGGGACAGGAAGCAGGACUGGGCAGGGUGAGGCCAGGCUGGGAUAUGGGCCCGAGGGCAGCCUCAGCCAGCCCCACAGGGGUUCUGGAGCCAGAACUGCUCUUCAGAGUCCCCCUUGGGCCAACGGUGUCAGGCCUUUCUGCUGUUGCAUCCUUCAGUCACUGAAGCUGGUUGCCUGGGAAGAGAACCAGAGAUCCUUGGAGAAAGGGGUGAUCCCAGGACUGGAACAGAGAUAAUGCAAGAUGAGACUGGAACAUCUUUUUGUGUCAGAAAGUAAGGAAGUGCUCAAAGAACAACGCGGACAUGUCAAAAUGACACAGGAGUCUGCCUGAAGGGGCUCCUACUGACUAAAACUGAGAGAAUUUGAGCAUCAAAAGAAAUAAUUACAGUAACGGAUCACAACGCUUUGACUACAGUGGAGAUCCAUGGGUCCAGAUGGAUAUAAGUGAAUGAAUGAAUAAAUAAAUGAGGGAGAAAGGAAAACUCUUACAGUAGAAUGCCAGCUGAUAAAUGUAGAGUGAGUGACAGAAAUAGUCACUGUUUGGCAACCAUCAUAAUGGUGAUUGAUUAAGGUCAGAGUCAUCAAACGAUGCUAAGGCUGGUGGGCGAGAUUUGAUGAGGAACAGGCUUUAUAGUCUUGGCAUCUCCUCACCACAUACCUAUCAAAUGCAAAGGGAAAGACGGUGAGUUUAUGGUGGAGAAAUCUUUCAGGCACCAACCUGACCUGGUGUCAAGGUUAACAUCACUAAUGGUGGGACAGGUCAGAAUCAUAAGCCCAAUGUGUAAUGCCCCGAGGAGAACAUGGCAUCUCUUCUGUGGCAUCCUUGCCAAGAAUGCCCAGCCCCAGAGUGGCAACUGACAGACUCAUUUGGGGGGCCAUAUUCUACCAAAUAAAUGGCCCAAACUUUUGAAGACUGUCAAGGUCACAAAAGACAAGGAGAGAUUGAAGAUCUGUUUCCUAUUCAAGGAAACUAAUGAGGCAUGACAACUCAACGCAGCUCAGAACCCUGACUUGGAACCUGGACCAGAAAGGCAAAUGAGGCAUCAUUGGGACAGUUGGAGAAAUCUGGAUGGGGUCCAUGGGUUGGAGGAUGGUGUUAAAUUAAUUAUGACUUCCUAAUUUGGAGGAUUUAAUGAUAGUAACAAGGAGAAGAUGUUGUGUUGGGGAAAUAUAAACUGGAGUACUUAGGGGUAAUGAGGCAUCGAGUCUAUAAAUUGUUCUGAAAUUCUCAAAUGGUUCAGCAAAAAAAAAAAAAAACAAAAAAAAAACAGAUGCAACUCUCUAUACAUAUAUACAUAGGAAGAGAAAGAGACAGGAAUAGGGAGGCACAGAGAGAGAGAGAAGGCACAAAUAUGGUAAAAUGUUAACAAUCAGAGAAACUGGGUGAAGGGGAUAUAGCAGUUCCUUGUACUGUUCUUGAAAUGUUUCUGGAAGUUUAAAGUUAUUUUAAAAUAAAUUACUAGUGAAUAAACCUAACACCACCCCAGGUUACCCUGCAACUGGCUUUUGCACAGCUCUGCCAACAGGUGCCACUGCAAAUGUGUGGUGCCCAAUGCUCACGAGUGCUUUUACUUGUGGUCAACAGCCCCUUGCGUUCCUGAGACAGAGUUUCCAAACUUUUACCUCUGUCCUCGAGCCCCCACCUGUCUCUCUCCCCAUCCUUUUUUGUCAGAUGACCUAACCCCUAUUUUUCAGAGCAAACAUAGGCCAACCUGGAGAGUCUUCCCUGAAUUUCCCUAACAUGACAAUUUGCAAAUGCUAUACAUCAGGUUAUUGUUGUUUUGGGUUUUGGGGGUUACUUGGAUUUUUUUUUUUUAAGAACUGGAUAUUAAACAUUUACCAAUACACCACUGAGUAUCAAUGUCUCUCAUCUCGUGCUCUUGUCCUAGGGAGUGGGUUGCAGGACGAUUGCGUGGAGUUGUGUAACAGGGCAACCCUGGUAGGGAUUGAUGUUCUGAGGCUGGGCUUGCUGUUGAAUACCUCUGUUGAAUGCCUCUGCAGCUUGCUGCAUUAAUGAAUUGAU
This 5126-nucleotide long non-coding RNA is filed under the name Homo sapiens (human). RNAcentral describes it as "HSALNT0029268". The record is from RNAcentral. Lineage: Eukaryota; Metazoa; Chordata; Mammalia; Primates; Hominidae.